UACGUAGGGGGCAAGCGUUGUCCGGAUUCAUUGGGCGUAAAGAGCGUGUAGGCGGCCAGGUAGGUCGGUUGUGAAAACUGGAGGCUCAACCUUCAGACGUCGAUCGAAACCAUCUGGCUAGAGUCCGGGAGAGGAGAGUGGAAUUCCUGGUGUAGCGGUGAAAUGCGCAGAUAUCAGGAAGAACACCCGUGGCGAAGGCGGUUCUCUGGGCCUGUACUGACGCUGAGGAACGAAAGCGUGGGGAGCAAACAGG
This 253-nucleotide ribosomal RNA is filed under the name uncultured bacterium. RNAcentral's name for it is "partial 16S ribosomal RNA". It matches the Rfam family "Bacterial small subunit ribosomal RNA", at positions 524 to 776 of the family's 1533-position model. The record is from RNAcentral.